Heterorhabditis bacteriophora is the source of this 46-nucleotide non-coding RNA. Lineage: Eukaryota; Metazoa; Nematoda; Chromadorea; Rhabditida; Heterorhabditidae. The record is from Rfam.
CCAACGGCCCUCUUUAGGGCCACAAAUAUCUAUGAAUGCUAACGGU